Musa acuminata AAA Group (dessert banana) is the source of this 1307-nucleotide RNA transcript. It is a transcript of the gene named ribosomal protein L5 pseudogene, with no coding region annotated. The record is from RefSeq and is marked validated. NCBI's taxonomy places the organism in Eukaryota, Viridiplantae, Streptophyta, Magnoliopsida, Zingiberales, Musaceae.
AUAUCAGCCUAGGCAACGAUCCUGACCGUCGGAUCAUGGCACAGGGCACUCUAGCGAUUCUCGAACCGAACAGACCGGGCUUCGCCGUGAGCUGCCCUUCCCCUCCGCUUCGAGGCCCCGAAGACGGCGGCGGCAGCAGCAGCAGUGAAGGAGAGGGCGAAAGAUGGCCUUUGUCAAAACUCAGAAGACCAAGGCUUACUUUAAGCGCUUUCAAGUCAAGUACAAGAGAAGGAGAGAGGGCAAGACUGAUUACCGUGCACGGAUCAGGCUGAUUAACCAGGACAAGAACAAGUACAAUACACCUAAAUUUCGAUUUGUUGUUCGAUUUGCAACCUCGGAAGUUGUUGCUUUUCACCUUUCUUUUCCUUCUCUCUUUUUUUUUGUUGCUUUUUUGGCAAUAAGAGUGAAGUUCUUAACAAAUAUGCUGUCAGACCAACAAGGAUAUUGCUGCACAAAUUAUAUCUGCAAGCAUUGCUGGUGAUCUAGUCCUUGCAUCUGCUUACUCUCAUGAACUUCCAUGCUACGGACUCGAAGUUGGUCUUACCAACUAUGCUGCAGGCUACUGGAGAGGACUUCUCUGUUGAACCUGCUGAGAGCAGGAGGCCUUUCCGUGCUCUUCUUGAUGUUGGCCUUGUGAGGACAACAACUGGCAACCGAGUUUUUGGUGCUCUUAAAGGUGCAUUAGAUGGUGGACUUGAUAUCCCUCGUAGUGACAAGAGGUUUGCUGGUUUUAAGAAGGAUGAGAAACAACUUGAUGCAGAAGUUCACAGGAAUUACAUCUUUGGAGGUCAUGUUGCAUCUUACGUGAAGACCUUGAUGGAGGAUGAGCCAAAAAAGUAUCAGGCGCACUUCAGUGAAUAUAUCAAGAGAGGAAUUGAGCCUGAUGACAUGGAAGAGAUGUACAAAAAAGUUCAUGCUGCCAUCCAUGCAGAUCCAACCACAAUAAAAUCCACAAAGCAACCACCCAAGGAGCACAGGAGAUUUAACUUGAAGAAGCUUACAUACGAGGAAAGGAAAGCCAAACUCAUCGAACGACUGAAUGCCCUUAAUGCAUCUGCUGAUGCCAACGAAGACGAAGACGACGAGUGAACACUUGAGUCAAAGUGCUAGCCUUGUGUUGUAAUUUGCAGCAGUCCAGGCUUGUUUCACUGCGUCCUACUCUCAUCAGGCUCAUAGGCAAGUUCUCAUUUGCUAUCAAGUAUAGAUCGUGGAUUUGGUCCAACCAAUCCGACCAAACGCCAACAAUUUUGACUCAUGCAAUUAAUAACUGCUUUUUAGAGGUUUAAUGAUAUGUGUGUUAUGUUGAA